This 76-nucleotide transfer RNA is filed under the name Nocardioides zhouii. RNAcentral describes it as "Nocardioides sp. HLT2-9 tRNA-Glu". It matches the Rfam family "tRNA". Rfam says of the family: Transfer RNA (tRNA) molecules are approximately 80 nucleotides in length. Their secondary structure includes four short double-helical elements and three loops (D, anti-codon, and T loops). The record is from RNAcentral. Lineage: Bacteria; Bacillati; Actinomycetota; Actinomycetes; Propionibacteriales; Nocardioidaceae.
GCCCCCAUCGUCUAGCGGCCCAGGACCCCGCCCUUUCACGGCGGUAGCGCCGGUUCGAAUCCGGUUGGGGGUACGA